UGACGUUAGCGGCGGACGGGUGAGUAACACGUGGGCAACCUGCCUGUAUUACUGGGAUAACUUCGGGAAACCGAAGCUAAUACCGGAUAGGAUCUUCUCCUUCAUGGGAGAUGAUUGAAAGAUGGUUUCGGCUAUCACUUACAGAUGGGCCCGCGGUGCAUUAGCUAGUUGGUGAGGUAACGGCUCACCAAGGCAACGAUGCAUAGCCGACCUGAGAGGGUGAUCGGCCACACUGGGACUGAGACACGGCCCAGACUCCUACGGGAGGCAGCAGUAGGGAAUCUUCCGCAAUGGACGAAAGUCUGACGGAGCAACGCCGCGUGAGUGAUGAAGGCUUUCGGGUCGUAAAACUCUGUUGUUAGGGAAGAACAAGUACRAGAGUAACUGCUYGUACCUUGACGGUACCUAACCAGAAAGCYACGGCUAACUACGUGCCAGCAGCCGCGGUAAUACGUAGGUGGCAAGCGUUAUCCGGAAUUAUUGGGCGUAAAGCGCGCGCAGGCGGUUUCUUAAGUCUGAUGUGAAAGCCCACGGCUCAACCGUGGAGGGUCAUUGGAAACUGGGRAACUUGAGUGCAGAAGAGAAAAGCGGAAUUCCACGUGUAGCGGUGAAAUGCGUAGAGAUGUGGAGGAACACCAGUGGCGAAAGCGGCUUUUUGGUCUGUAACUGACGCUGA
Molecule: ribosomal RNA, 676 nt
Filed under: Bacillus sp. (in: firmicutes)
Lineage: Bacteria; Bacillati; Bacillota; Bacilli; Caryophanales; Bacillaceae
Description: bacterial SSU rRNA
Source: RNAcentral